GAUGAACGCUGGCGGCGUGCCUAAUACAUGCAAGUCGAGCGAACAGACGAGGAGCUUGCUCCUUCGACGUUAGCGGCGGACGGGUGAGUAACACGUAGGUAACCUACCUAUAAGACUGGGAUAACUUCGGGAAACCGGAGCUAAUACCGGAUAAUAUUUCGAACCGCAUGGUUCGAUAGUGAAAGAUGGCUUUGCUAUCACUUAUAGAUGGACCUGCGCCGUAUUAGCUAGUUGGUAAGGUAACGGCUUACCAAGGCAACGAUACGUAGCCGACCUGAGAGGGUGAUCGGCCACACUGGAACUGAGACACGGUCCAGACUCCUACGGGAGGCAGCAGUAGGGAAUCUUACGCAAUGGGCGAAAGCCUGACGGAGCAACGCCGCGUGAGUGAUGAAGGUCUUCGGAUCGUAAAACUCUGUUAUUAGGGAAGAACAAACGUGUAAGUAACUGUGCACGUCUUGACGGUACCUAAUCAGAAAGCCACGGCUAACUACGUG
Molecule: ribosomal RNA, 497 nt
Filed under: uncultured bacterium
Lineage: Bacteria
Description: partial 16S ribosomal RNA
Rfam family: Bacterial small subunit ribosomal RNA
Source: RNAcentral